This 572-nucleotide ribosomal RNA is filed under the name Debaryomyces nepalensis. RNAcentral's name for it is "eukaryotic LSU rRNA". It matches the Rfam family "Eukaryotic large subunit ribosomal RNA", at positions 70 to 658 of the family's 3401-position model. The record is from RNAcentral. Lineage: Eukaryota; Fungi; Ascomycota; Pichiomycetes; Serinales; Debaryomycetaceae.
AGGCAUUGCCUUAGUAACGGCGAGUGAAGCGGCAAAAGCUCAAAUUUGAAAUCUGGCGCCUUCGGUGUCCGAGUUGUAAUUUGAAGAAGGUAACUUUGGAGUUGGCUCUUGUCUAUGUUCCUUGGAACAGGACGUCACAGAGGGUGAGAAUCCCGUGCGAUGAGAUGCCCAAUUCUAUGUAAAGUGCUUUCGAAGAGUCGAGUUGUUUGGGAAUGCAGCUCUAAGUGGGUGGUAAAUUCCAUCUAAAGCUAAAUAUUGGCGAGAGACCGAUAGCGAACAAGUACAGUGAUGGAAAGAUGAAAAGAACUUUGAAAAGAGAGUGAAAAAGUACGUGAAAUUGUUGAAAGGGAAGGGCUUGAGAUCAGACUUGGUAUUUUGCGAUCCUUUCCUUCUUGGUUGGGUUCUCCGCAGCUUACUGGGCCAGCAUCGGUUUGGAUGGUAGGAUAAUGAUUAAGGAAUGUGGCUCUACUUCGGUGGAGUGUUAUAGCCUUGGUUGAUACUGCCUGUCUAGACCGAGGACUGCGUCUUUGACUAGGAUGCUGGCAUAAUGAUCUUAAGCCACCCGUCUUGAA